GUCUUGUGGCAGCCGAGACCACGUGUUCCGUGUCCCAUGGGACCUCCAUUCCGUACCGAUCAUCUGGCAGCUCCGGUAAUGGGCACCGGGAGGCCCGCGUUUACCGUCAGAAACACAGACCGGAGAGGGAUAACAACUAAUAUCUGCAUCUCCCCGCUCGACAUCGAUCAGCGGCGCGAGGCCAGCAGCAGAGAGCUCAUCCCACCUUGGUGUGAGUUCAGAGCACCACAGGCCACACAAGGAGCGGUGACACUGACAGCAUGUACACGCAGUGGCGGACGUGCAAACACUUAACCUAACGCGUGUGAGACGGAGCACCAGGCAUGUGUUCACACAAAUACAAGGCAAGUGUGCGGCGGACAAACACACACUGCACACAAAGUACACAUAUGGACGCAUGGAUAUAAUAAUAAAUAAAUAAAACAGUCUCUUCAUCUCUGCCAUCCCCCCCAAAAAUGCCUCAGCUGGUCUGCUGAUCGUUCUGGUCCAGCACACUCACUCACACACACACACACACACACACACACACACACACACACACACACACACACACACACACACACACACACACACACACACACACACACACCAGCAUCUGAAGAGUCAAACUCCCCAUCUCAGACUAAUCAGUUGACUGCACUAAUUGCAAAUGCAAAUAUGCAAAUUUAUAUUAAUUAAUUACUCCACUAAUUAGUUCUCUUGUCUUUUCAGGUAAUAAAUCAUGGUGUGGUUGAGAGAAAGAGAGAAAGAGAGACAUGGCAGUGAUCUUUUGUCUGCUAGAAUCCUUGUUUCAGGUCUGAUUCUGAUACAGCGAUGUCUGCAGGACAGAUUUUUAUCAAACCGUCCUCCGCUGUGAUUCCUUUCCUUUUUCUCCACAACACUUCUAACUUAGUCAAUUAUUGCCUUUGAUAUUCCAUGUGUUAUACUUCAAGGGUGCGAGCGUUGUAAUUUGAGAGGUAUAACAAAUAGCAGAGGUUGGUAAAUCGGAGCAUCUCGCUGACAGUUCUUGCCUGUCAGCUCUUUUAAUUAUCACAUUAUCAGCUUUUAUAGGCACGGUGUGCGGUGCAGAGCUGCAAAUGAAGCCGCCACAGAUCGCACGCUGAGUUGCAAGCAUUUCUCAAUUGAUGUCAGCAGUUAAAGGGGAAUUUGCGUCUGGAUAAUGAGUGCAAGGUGAAGUGGUUGAGAAGAUGGUGGUGGUGUGGCGCUGCAACAUGAUUCGGUCCAAAAUAUCACUCAGAGUUCGGUCGUAGAGGUCGUUUCUGUUGUACAGUCCCGUGUGGCAACUCUAAAGCAAAGUGUUUUUUGUAAUCUUGACACUGACUCUGUAAUGAGCUCCAUAAUGUUAAUUUUCAGUUUCUCGGUGAACUAACAACUCUCACUAUUUAUUUUGCGUCGCCUUCCACUCAGCUGCCUGUACAAUUAACUCAACCCAAAACACAAAAGCUAAAUGAGGAAGUGCUUACAAUGUGCCACACACAAGUGCAAGUCAUUUAUUCUGAGUACUUGUUGAUGAUCAGAUGAACGCUUCAGUUGGUGCUGAUAAUAAUUCUACAUUCUCCCUCUCACACCAUAAACCUGUUGUUUGCCAGAGUUAUUGUCUUUUCAGCGUUUAUGAUGUUUCCAAAUCUCUCUCUUGUAAUAUGUCAAGUGUGCACAUUUUCCCCCUUUUCCUUUAUUUAUCCAUGUGGAAGUUUCACAUCUUAUUUCAGAGGAGGCUGUGUUACAAUAUUAGACUAAAUGCUGUCUCUUAAAAAUGACAUACAUUUUCUGCUAAUUUGUUUUUCUCACAUGCAUUUUUGCCUCCUGAGAGCAGCAUGUCAUCACAUUUAGGCAACAAAUCACUCCGGUGAAGAUUGAAGGAGCAAAUGUGGUACAUCUAGUUUUGCAGUUAGACUUAGUAGGAAUGCUUUGCAAGUUGCCUUUUUUUUUUUUUUUAAUGUAAAUAAAUCCUGAAGAAAUACAGGCGGUUGUAUAUUUGUCUGUGGGCAUAUCUUCUGUUACCAGAAUGUACACGAAAUGUAGUUUCUAGGAGACAGAUUUUCAUUUACAAGCUGAGAAAAAUGAUCACACAUGCUGCAUGAAAGAACACGAACCGUGUCCAGCCAAAAUACCAGAUAACAGCAGAGUUAUGGACCAAGCCUUCCGAUUUUUACAGUUAUCCAAUUUAUGAACUUCAAAAUGUUGUUUCAGGUGGAAAGCUCAUCUUCGUUAUGUGGGCAGCUGACAUUUGUAAAACUACAACUCAUUUUAAGGGUUUCUCUGCGUAUCUACACAAAUUUAUAGAAAGAAGCUUUGAAUUUAGAUUUUGUUACCAUGAGCCAAUAAAUCUUGGAGUGGAAAUAUGAUCUCUUUCAAGUGUUUUCAGCAAUAAUCAAUGAUCCAGGAGCUCUGUGGUGACACCGCCAAGUCUGGAAAGUGACUUAAGUAAAGCGGUGAGGUAUACUCUACCGUUCAAAAGUUUGGGGUCACCCAGACAAUUUCAUGUUUUCCAUGAAAACUCACACUUUUAUUCAUGUGCUAACAUAAUUGCACAAGGGUUUUCUAAUCAUCAAUUAGCCUUUCAAUACCAUUAGCUAACACAAUGUAGCAUUAGAACACAGGAGUGAUGGUUGCUGGAAAUGUUCCUCUGUACCCCUAUGAAGAUAUUCCAUUAAAAAUCAGCUGUUUCCAGCUAGAAUAGUCAUUUACCACAUUAACAAUGUCUAGACUGUAUUUCUGAUUAAUGUUAUCUUCAUUGAAAAAAACUGUUUCUUUCAAAAAUAAGGGCAUUUCUAAAUGACCCCACACUUUUGAAUGGUAGUAUAAAUAAUAUAGUCUCUUUUAAUACCUUUGCAGCAACAUAUUUAUGAAGCAUUGAGUUUUCUUAGGUUUAUGGUAAUUCUUCAGAUCCUACAUGUGCCCAACAUGCUUGCUGCAUUUUCUUUGAAAGUAUAGCUUUAGGAAAUAUGUUUGCUCCCUUCCGUACAGAAAUUUAGCUGAGAAGACUGAUGAUAUUCUAAUGUCUGCCUGAUAAAUAAUGCAUGGAGCUGGAGCCGAUCUUAGUUAGCCUUAAAUUAGCGUCAAUCAACACAACUCAUCAAAACAAUGUUCACAACUCAAAAGGUUUAUCUAAAUGGGGAAUUUAAACUUUUAUAGAAAAUUCAACCUUUUGAAUGGUAAUGUAUGUGGUGAGUGUUUUUACUUGAUGCUACUUUACCACCAUUGUUUAAGAUGAAAGAUUUUUGAUUUUUACACAUAAAACAUACAGUCUGUUUAUUGUAUAUGAAGUCUUGUUAUAUAUUAAACUUCCCAAUUGUAUAUAAAGCAGGUCAAACAUUCUUGUAAAGUACAAAACUAAACUACUGAUCACAAAUAAUGUGUCAUCCAUAAACAACAAUCAUUGUGUAAAUGCAGUAAAUAAUCUGUCCGCUACUAGAUGCAACUUGCUCAUAGUAGAAUUGAGAUCCAUGUUGUCAGUGGCCACAAUUAUGCUUCCAAAAUGACUUGGAGUCAAAAGGGAAGACUUGUUGUAACAGCCUCUUAGUGGACAAGUUGGUUUCAGCAGUGAGCUCCAGCACCACCCACCCACUGAAGGCUCACAUGCUGGAUGUGCAGAGGACUGCUGAGGAUUGUGGGACUGAUUACCAGAGGCCAGGUCCUGGACUGGUGUCCUCCAGCUGUGCUGUUCUACCCAAUUAGAAACUCCAUAUGCUGCCCCACUCAGCUGCUGAGUGGCCACACCUCCCACCCACACAGGUGGAGCAUUGUGUGCUCUGUAUGUGCAUGUGUGCGUCUGCCUUUGUUGCUGUCGUCUAUCAACAAAAACACUCCAGCGAGAAUUAGAGAGGAAGCUCCUCCAGUGUCCAUUUCAUUUGGAUCCAUAAUUCCCCGGCAUACAGGAUUAUAAUAACUGCCUCACAGAUCUAAUUACAUUUUGUGUGAUGGUCCACCACUGAAACACUUUCUUACAAUCUCAACUCAUUUCUUAACACACAAAAAAGUAAACUGUCACCACUCCUUUGAUAACAAACAUGCAGGUAUUUAGGUGGGUGGCAUAGAAGUGCUAAUAGUAUUAAAAUAUGGGGAUAUGAAUAAUGGAUAUGUUUUUGAAAAUGUAUAAUGUAAAGAUGUUAGUCCCGUUUUCAGACAGAGACGGGACGCAGACGUGAAAUGUUGCUGGAGGCGCCCGUUUCUUUUUCAAAGCACAAUCUGUUCACACACGUUCAAAGUGGUGGUGACAAUCUGUUGUGGUAGAAUGCGACACUUCCAUACUCAGAAAGUGAUAAGAUAAAUAAAAAUGUGUCAGAUAUCAUAUUUAAGAAAGAGUGUCAUCUUUACUUUCAUAAGCAUUGUCUGAAAUGGAUGAUAAACUCUGUUUGCUGCACUGUAAAACACACGAGGUGGUGUCGAACCCACAGGAACUAUAUAACAUAUGUGAAGAGACAUAAACACAUGAUUUAUUGACAUUUCUCCAAACUGCCUGAGAGCUCUGGAGCAGCAGACGGGAGGGAUGUUUUCCUUUACGAAGUAAGAUCAGAAUCAAAAAGCUCAUGACGUAAACUCCUUUUGAUUUGCACAUGAAUCUACUGGUUGGCCAACUUUUACACGUUUUCACUUUUUUUUUAAUUCCAAGCAUGGAGCUGAGGUGAUUGACAGGGCUGUGAUGUUGUUUUCUCACCUAAUCGACACUCGUGGUGUUGAUACGAUUUCUCUCUCCGUCAUCCCUUCUCUUCACUUUUACUCAUUAGCCUUCAACCAGCUCUAACCUAACCAGCUCCAGUGUUUGUUCUGAGGCAGCUGUAGGCCCCUGUUGUCUUUAUGUACAUGGUUCGGACAGUGUGUUGAUCAUGAUCAUGAUAAUGAUAAUACCUAUGCUGUAAUUUGUUGUUUUUAUUGCUAUCUUCAUUUUUCUCUUUUCUUUCUCUGCUAUUGUUGUCCCUCUUCUUUGGUUCAGUUUUCCUCUGUAUGGACUCUAAAGCACCUUCAACUGUAUACAGCACUAAAUAAAUAAAGCUCAGUUAAGGGGUUCUAUCAUCAGAGGUCCGUACUAUGAUGCAGGAUUUGUCGUUAGUCUGUUAGGUCUGCUGAUGCUGGCUCUGGAUAGGGCCCCUCCUUCCUCUUGUUUUCUUCCUUUUCAGGUAUGCUGAGCACUGUGGCAACGGCAGGUGAGGGCAAUCCUGGAUCAAUCAGCAGAAGCAGGAGCAGGUGUGCCAGAGCCAAUCAGCUGACUUCUCCUACACAAUAUAACCUGACUCCACUCUUUAGUCGAUGCCGGAUCGUGAAUGCCAACAUUCGGACCCACCACCUGCUCCUGCUGCCAACCCAUUCCAACCCACCAGGAUUCAUCUACACCCCCGUCCUCUGUCUACAUCUCUGGAAAUCUCCUGGAACUUCUCCACCACCUCCCAACCUCCGUCCGAGCCUCCACCGCCGUCGCAGCCGCGACCGUCUGACACAGCCCAACAGAACCCUCCUGCCUCGUCUGGUUCUCUGCCUCCCAGCUUCCUGGCUGUCCGCCGUCAGUCAGUCUCAGUUAUGAGCAGUAUCAGUCUUGGUUAAUUAUAUCGUAGGUUUGUAUAGGUUUUCUAGUUCAUUCUAAGUUGUGGAGUAAUGCAUCUCCGGAUUUCUAGUUUUGGUUAUUUGCGGAUAGUUCUCUAAUUCUUGUAUUUUUCUUAAAGCAAUCUUGUUUCAUAGUAAUAUCUGUUUUUGCCGUCUCCUAGUUUUAUAUUCUGGAAUCCGUGUGAGCAUAAUCGCUCUUUAGUUUAGGAAGUUCUUGUAGUCGUUUUCUCUCUCCUGCCCAGGUGUUACCUGCCGUGGGUCAGUUCUCUUGUUGGUAAAUACUCUUUGUUUAGUCUUCCAGCCACUAGAGGCCCUGUAGUUCACAGUCGUUGUUACUGUUUCCGUUUCCCCGUUCUGGGAACACACUUCCGUUGGGAGUCAGGGUACUUGUGUAUUUUGUAAUUGUAAAUAAACCAUUGA
This is a long non-coding RNA of Amphiprion ocellaris (clown anemonefish), 5958 nucleotides long. RefSeq lists it as uncharacterized. The transcript has 3 exons. Lineage: Eukaryota; Metazoa; Chordata; Actinopteri; Pomacentridae. The record is from RefSeq and is a predicted model, not a curated record.